RNAcentral lists this ribosomal RNA (468 nucleotides) under uncultured bacterium. RNAcentral's name for it is "partial 16S ribosomal RNA". It matches the Rfam family "Bacterial small subunit ribosomal RNA", at positions 28 to 507 of the family's 1533-position model. The record is from RNAcentral.
GACGAACGCUGGCGGCGUGCUUAACACAUGCAAGUCGAACGGAAAGGCCCUGCUUUUGUGGGGUGCUCGAGGGGCGAACGGGUGAGUAACACGUGAGUAACCUGCCCUUGACUUUGGGAUAACUUCAGGAAACUGGGGCUAAUACCGGAUAGGAGCUCCUGCUGCAUGGUGGGGGUUGGUAAGUUUCGGCGGUUGGGGAUGGACUCGCGGCUUAUCAGCUUGUUGGUGGGGUAGUGGCUUACCAAGGCUUUGACGGGUAGCCGGCCUGAGAGGAUGACCGGACACAUUGGGACUGAGAUAAGGCACAGACUAGUACGGGAGGCAGGAGUGGGGAAGAGAGCACAAGGGGCGGAAGCCUGAUGCAGCAACGCCGCGUGCGGUAUGACGGCAUUCGGGUUGUAAACCGCUUUCGCCUGUGACGAAGCGUGAGUGACGGUAAUGGGUAAAGAAGCACCGGCUAACUACGUG